GACAGAGGUGCCAAGCGUUAGGCGGAAUCACUGGGCUUAAAGCGUGUGUAGGCGGGUCGUUAAGUACCUUGUGAAAUCCCCCGGCUCAACCGGGGAACGGCUGGGUAUACUGGCGAUCUUGAGCCACCUAGGGGCAGUCGGAACAAGUGGUGGAGCGGUGAAAUGCGUAGAUAUCGGGAGGAACACCAGUGGCGAAGGCGGCGACCUGGACGGACAUUGACGCUGAGACGCGAAAGCGUGGGGAGCAAACAGG
This 253-nucleotide ribosomal RNA is filed under the name uncultured bacterium. RNAcentral describes it as "partial 16S ribosomal RNA". It matches the Rfam family "Bacterial small subunit ribosomal RNA", at positions 524 to 776 of the family's 1533-position model. The record is from RNAcentral.